Engraulis encrasicolus (European anchovy) is the source of this 522-nucleotide non-coding RNA. NCBI's taxonomy places the organism in Eukaryota, Metazoa, Chordata, Actinopteri, Clupeiformes, Engraulidae. The record is from the annotation of a RefSeq genome assembly.
AUGCGCUGCAGAUGCACACAGCUCUCCAUAAUUUUGUAUGAAAUUAGAGACAGACACAGACUGAGAGUCAGAUGCAACAUGCAGUUAAGGCGUGAGGAGGUUUUUGUACAGCCUCUCAAUGAGCUUGUAUCACUGUGGUACACGUUUGGUAGCGGCACCAGACUGAAUGUUGGCACCAACAGGCAGCCCAGUGUGACGGUGCUGCCUCCCUCCAGAGAGGAGCUGUCCAGUGGGGGCUCUGCCACACUGCUGUGCCUGGCUGACAAGGGCUUCCCCUCAGACUGGAGCCUGAGCUGGAAGGUGGAUGGCAGCAGUAGGAGUGGAGUGGCCAGUGCUGGGCUCAUGAAGGACGGUGUGUACAGCUGGAGCAGCAGCCUGACCCUCACUGAUGCUGAGUGGAGAGGAGCCACCUCAGUGGUGUGUGAGGCCACCCAGGGAUCCCAGAGAGCCGUCAGCAAAGCCCUGAGCAGAGCUGACUGCUCCCAGUAGCCUCCAGACUCCAAUCUGCUCUCUGCUGACUCC